This 72-nucleotide transfer RNA is filed under the name Loxodonta africana (African savanna elephant). It matches the Rfam family "tRNA". Rfam says of the family: Transfer RNA (tRNA) molecules are approximately 80 nucleotides in length. Their secondary structure includes four short double-helical elements and three loops (D, anti-codon, and T loops). The record is from Rfam by way of RNAcentral. Lineage: Eukaryota; Metazoa; Chordata; Mammalia; Proboscidea; Elephantidae.
GCCCUGGUGGUUCAAAGGUUAAAUGUUUGGCAGCUAACUAAAAGAUUGGUGGUUCAAACCCACCCAUUGGCU